This 493-nucleotide ribosomal RNA is filed under the name uncultured bacterium. RNAcentral describes it as "bacterial SSU rRNA". It matches the Rfam family "Bacterial small subunit ribosomal RNA", at positions 28 to 512 of the family's 1533-position model. The record is from RNAcentral.
AACGAACGCUGGCGGCGCGCUUAACACAUGCAAGUCGAACGAGAAGGCGUAGCAAUACGCUUGUACAGUGGCGAACGGGUGAGUAAUACGUGGGCGACCUACCCUCGAGUGGGGAAUAACCCGCCGAAAGGCGGGCUAAUGCCGCGUACGCUUCCAUCUUUAUGGAGGUGGAAGGAAAGCCGUGCCGUGGGCACGGCGCUCAAGGAUGGGCUCACGUCCUAUCAGCUUGUUGGAGGGUAACGGCCUACCAAGGCUCCGACGGGUAGCUGGUCUGAGAGGACGAUCAGCCACACUGGCACUGCGACACGGGCCAGACUCCUACGGGAGGCAGCAGUGAGGAAUAUUGCGCAAUGGGCGAAAGCCUGACGCAGCGACGCCGCGUGGGGGAUGGAAGGUCUUCGGAUUGUAAACCCCUUUCGGGUAGGGAAGAUGGGACGGGCGAACCGUUCGGACGGUACCGUCCAGAAGCAGCCACGGCUAACUUCGUGCCAGC